UGGGGAAUUUUUGGACAAUGGGCGAAAGCCUGAUCCAGCAAUGCCGCGUGUGUGAAGAAGGCCUUCGGGUUGUAAAGCACUUUUGUCCGGAAAGAAAUCCUUGGCUCUAAUACAGUCGGGGGAUGACGGUACCGGAAGAAUAAGCACCGGCUAACUACGUGCCAGCAGCCGCGGUAAUACGUAGGGUGCAAGCGUUAAUCGGAAUUACUGGGCGUAAAGCGUGCGCAGGCGGUUUGCUAAGACCGAUGUGAAAUCCCCGGGCUCAACCUGGGAACUGCAUUGGUGACUGGCAGGCUAGAGUAUGGCAGAGGGGGGUAGAAUUCCACGUGUAGCAGUGAAAUGCGUAGAGAUGUGGAGGAAUACCGAUGGCGAAGGCAGCCCCCUGGGCCAAUACUGACGCUCAUGCACGAAAGCGUGGGGAGCAAACAGGAUUAGAUACCCUGGUAGUCCACGCCCUAAACGAUGUCGCUAGUUGUUGGGGAUUCAUUUCCUUAGUAACGUAGCUAACGCGUGAAGUUGACCGCCUGGGGAGUACGGUCGCAAGAUU
RNAcentral lists this ribosomal RNA (547 nucleotides) under uncultured bacterium. RNAcentral's name for it is "partial 16S ribosomal RNA". It matches the Rfam family "Bacterial small subunit ribosomal RNA", at positions 355 to 895 of the family's 1533-position model. The record is from RNAcentral.